RNAcentral lists this unclassified non-coding RNA (291 nucleotides) under Paraglomerales sp. RNAcentral's name for it is "partial contains 5.8S ribosomal RNA and internal transcribed spacer 2". The stretch from base 1 to 65 matches the Rfam family "5.8S ribosomal RNA", at positions 84 to 154 of the family's 154-position model. The record is from RNAcentral. Lineage: Eukaryota; Fungi; Glomeromycota; Glomeromycetes; Paraglomerales.
GUGAAUCAUCAAAUUUUUGAACGCAAAUUGCGCCUUUUUCGGAAGGCAUGUCUGUUUGAGGGCACCAUUUAACAAAUAAUGUGCAGCGUUUUUUUUUGCACACGUUGAUGAGCUUUCCAAGAAUUUUAAAUUUUUGGUGGCGCAUAAUGAACAGCGGGAAAGUUUUUUUCAUUUCGAUUGUAUUAAAAUCUUUGCUUGGUUUGUGAAAAAACAUAAUCGCGCAAGGGGGGGGGCAAUUUCUUUUUAUCCCUGCCCCAAUCCCACCUUUUCCCCCGGAAGAAUUUCUAUUCU